AUGAUAGGCCCCUCCCACUUUUCACAGCCUGCUCUAUUUGCCAUAGCAAUGUGCUUCCAUCUAAUAAGAUUCAUCCUACAGUGUUUUCAAGUCAACACGACAUAUCGUCUGUCCGCUACAGCUGCUCGUGUAGGACGACCACAGAAGCGGCGCCCUCUGAGAACGCAAGGCAUUAUGGGAAUUUGCUCCCCUCUGUGUAGGUUCAUCCUACAAUGUUUUGAAGUCAACACGACAUAUCGUCUGUCCGCUACAGCUGCUCGUGUUGGACGACCACAGCAGCGGCACCCUCUGAGAACGCAAGGCAUUCGUGCUGAUGGCGAAGGAUUUUCCUGUCAUGAUAGGCCCCUCCCACUUUUCACAGCCUGCUCUAUUUGCCAUAGCAAUGUGCUUCCAUCUAAUAAGAUUCAUCCUACAGUGUUUUGA
Molecule: long non-coding RNA, 423 nt
Filed under: Gouania willdenowi (blunt-snouted clingfish)
Lineage: Eukaryota; Metazoa; Chordata; Actinopteri; Blenniiformes; Gobiesocidae
Description: lncRNA (ENSGWIG00000015450.1)
Source: RNAcentral